Molecule: ribosomal RNA, 303 nt
Filed under: uncultured bacterium
Lineage: Bacteria
Description: partial 16S ribosomal RNA
Rfam family: Bacterial small subunit ribosomal RNA
Source: RNAcentral
AGCAGUAGCCACGGUAAUACGAAGGGGGCUAGCGUUGCUCGGAAUCACUGGGCGUAAAGGGUGCGUAGGCGGGUCUUUAAGUCAGGGGUGAAAUCCUGGAGCUCAACUCCAGAACUGCCUUUGAUACUGAAGAUCUUGAGUUCGGGAGAGGUGAGUGGAACUGCGAGUGUAGAGGUGAAAUUCGUAGAUAUUCGCAAGAACACCAGUGGCGAAGGCGGCUCACUGGCCCGAUACUGACGCUGAGGCACGAAAGCGUGGGGAGCGAACAGGAUUAGAUACCCGUGUAGUCCCUGUCUCUUAUAU